UGGGAACGCGAAGAACCUUACCUACCCUUGACAUGUCCGGAGGCCUGCUGAAAGGCGGGUGUGCCCGAAAGGGAACCGGAACACAGGUGCUGCAUGGCUGUCGUCAGCUCGUGUCGUGAGAUGUUGGGUUAAGUCCCGCAACGAGCGCAACCCUUGUCAUUAGUUGCUACAUUCAGUUGGGCACUCUAAUGAGACUGCCGGUGACAAACCGGAGGAAGGUGGGGAUGACGUCAAGUCCUCAUGGCCCUUAUGGGUAGGGCUUCACACGUAAUACAAUGGCGCGUACAGAGGGCUGCUAAGCCGCGAGGUAGAGCCAAUCCCUUAAAGCGCGUCGUAGUCCGGAUUGCAGUCUGCAACUCGACUGCAUGAAGUCGGAAUCGCUAGUAAUCGCGGAUCAGCAUGUCGCGGUGAAUACGUUCCCGGGUCUUGUACACACCG
RNAcentral lists this ribosomal RNA (438 nucleotides) under uncultured bacterium. RNAcentral describes it as "bacterial SSU rRNA". It matches the Rfam family "Bacterial small subunit ribosomal RNA", at positions 954 to 1392 of the family's 1533-position model. The record is from RNAcentral.